RNAcentral lists this ribosomal RNA (276 nucleotides) under uncultured organism. RNAcentral's name for it is "partial 16S ribosomal RNA". It matches the Rfam family "Bacterial small subunit ribosomal RNA", at positions 638 to 911 of the family's 1533-position model. The record is from RNAcentral.
GGACUUGAGUACGGGAGAGGGAAGUGGAAUUCCUGGUGUAGAGGUGAAAUUCGUAGAUAUCAGGAGGAACACCACGUGGCGAAGGCGACUUCCUGGACCAAUACUGACGCUGAGGCGCGAAAGCGUGGGGAGCAAACAGGAUUAGAUACCCUGGUAGUCCACGCCGUAAACGAUGUGCACUAGGUGUUGCGGGUAUUAACCCCUUCUGUGCCGCAGCUAACGCAAUAAGUCCACCGCCUGGGGACUACGGCCGCAAGGUUAAAACUCAAAGGAAUU